GACGAGCGCUGCGGCGUGCCUAACACAUGCAAGUCGAGCGAAUGAAGUUCCUUCGGGAAUGGAUUUAGCGGCGGACGGGUGAGUAACACGUGGGCAACCUGCCUCAUAGAGGGGAAUAGCCUUCCGAAAGGGAGAUUAAUACCGCAUAAGAUUGUAGUACCGCAUGGUACAGCAAUUAAAGGAGCAAUCCGCUAUGAGAUGGGCCCGCGGCGCAGUAGCUAGUUGGUGAGGUAACGGCUCACCAAGGCGACGAUGCGUAGCCGACCUGAGAGGGUGAUCGGCCACAUUGGGACUGAGACACGGCCCAGACUCCUACGGGAGGCAGCAGUGGGGAAUAUUGCACAAUGGGGGAAACCCUGAUGCAGCAACGCCGCGUGAGUGAUGACGGCCUUCGGGUUGUAAAGCUCUGUCUUCAGGGACGAUAAUGACGGUACCUGAGGAGGAAGCCACGGCUAACUACGUGCCAGCAGCCGCAGUAA
This 479-nucleotide ribosomal RNA is filed under the name uncultured bacterium. RNAcentral describes it as "partial 16S ribosomal RNA". It matches the Rfam family "Bacterial small subunit ribosomal RNA", at positions 28 to 523 of the family's 1533-position model. The record is from RNAcentral.